CAGGUUACCAUAGCAACCGCCUAGCAACCACCCAGAACACCCUAGCAACCGCCUAGCAACACCUUAGCAACCACCCCAAGUACCUUAGCAACUGCCUAGCAACCGCCUAGCAACCACCCAGAACACCCUAGCAACCGCCUAGCAACACCGUAGCAACUGCCCCAAGUACCUUAGCAACUGCCUAGCAACACCCUAGCAACCACCCAGGUUACCAUAGCAACCGCCUAGCAACCACCCAGAACACCCUAGCAACCGCCUAGCAACACCUUAGCAACCACCCCAAGUACCUUAGCAACUGCCUAGCAACACCCUAGCAACCACCCAGGUUACCAUAGCAACCGCCUAGCAACCACCCAGAACACCUUAGCAAUUGCCUAGAAACACCCUAGCAACCGAGUGCCGAGUUUUGCCACUGCAAGCACCAUUCACAUUUUCUUCAGGAAAUGUACAUUCUAGUUAAUGGUGCUUGCCAAAGGCAAAGCAUCAUUAUUGUUCUCCUGCAUACUUAUUAUUAUUAUUAUUAUUAUUAUUCUUCUUCUUCUUCUGGACAAAAACUUCGGCGCGUAACUUGUCCCGCAGUUUUUGUCCUAGACCCAUGAAUGAGGUGUCAAAUCGACCGGCUCAUUGAGGAGAGGUGUGCUAUGACUUUUAUAAGCGAUCGGCCCAACGAUGUUCGCACAGGGGGCGAAAAAGCGGCCAAAAAAGUCCCAUUGACUUUCAAUGGCGGAAUGUUCAGAAAUUUGAAUCUCAACUGUCACUUUCUCACACACGCACACACACGCAGGGCCUUAGAACCCUUUCUCUCACUCACUCACAUCUCUCACUAUUGAUCACAGUGUCAUAGAGACAAGGGGGCGGGCUCAUUUCACUCAGGCAACCAAUCAGUCUCUCAGGAUCAAUGUGACGCUAUCAAGCCACGCCCUAGCAACCAUAUAGAGCACCAUAGCAACAGGUUCCAUAGACUUCCAUUCAAAAAGAUCAAAGAUAUUCCUUUGGAUAGAAGUGUCAUAGGAACAUGAGGGUGGGCUCAUUUGACUCAGGACAGCAAACGGCCAAUCACGAAUCACCUUCAAGACUUCAUAGCCACGCCCUAGCAACCAUUUAGAGCACCCUAGCAACCCAAAGCAUAGAGGGAUAUCUUCAAAUCUGAAUAUCAUAGAGGCAUGGGGGUUGGUUUAUAUCAUUCAUACUGGCAAGCAGCCUUUGGAGUAUCAUCAUUGGUAGCUGCCAAGCCACUCCCUAGCAACCAAAUAGAGUACCCUAGCAACCGUUUUGCAAGACCUAUAUCUCUGCAUCAGAACAUCGUAGAGACAUGGCGGUUGGCUCUUUUGACUCAUGCUAGCAAACUGGACUUCCAACAUGCUACACAUGCUAGCAGUGAAUAGCUACAUGCUAAUAGUGAUUAGCUAAGUGCUAAAGUGUCUAAGAACAUGCUAAGAACUCUAUAAAAACACCAUAGUAACCAUCUGUGACAACUACCAACCACCUAGUAACAUCAUAGCAACCACCCAGGUUACCAUAGCAACUGCCUAGCAACCACCCAUAACACCCUAGCAACCGCCUAGCAACACCUUAGCAACUGCCCCAAGUACCUUACCAACUGCCUAGCAACACCCUAGCAACCACCCAGGUUACCAUAGCAACCGCCUAGCAACCACCCAGAACACCUUAGCAACCGCCUAGCAACACCUUAGCAACCACCCCAAGUACCUUAGCAACUGCCUAGCAACAGCCUAGCAACCACCCAGGUUACCAUAGCAACCGCCUAGCAACCACCCAGAACACCCUAGCAACCGCCUAGCAACACCUUAGCAACCACCCCAAGUACCUUAGCAACUGCCUAGCAACCGCCUAGCAACCACUCAGGUUACCAUAGCAACCGCCUAGCAACCACCCAGAACACCCUAGCAACCGCCUAGCAACACCUUAGCAACCACCCCAAGUACCUUAGCAACUGCCUAGCAACACCCUAGCAACCACCCAGGUUACCAUAGCAACCGCCUAGCAAUCACCCAGAACACCUUAGCAAUUGCCUAGAAACACCCUAGCAACCGAGUGCCGAGUUUUGCCACUGCAAGCACCAUUCACAUUUUCUUCAGGAAAUGUACAUUCUAGUAUUGUAAUUAUUAUUCACCUGAACAAAACUUUGGCGCGUAACUCGUCCCGCACCGUUUGUCGUAGAUCGAUGAAUGAGGUGUCAAAUCGACCGGUUUAUUGAGGAGAGGUGUGCUAUGACUUUUCUAAGCAAUCGGGUGUACGAUGUUCACACAGCGUACGAAAAAUCGGCUGAAAAAAGUCCCAUAGACUUAACAUUGCCACAAAAUCUGUGAGAUCAUAUCUUUGGAUCAGAAGGUCAUAGAGACUUGGGGCUGGGCUCUUUUGACUCGGCCAGCCAAUAGGUAGUGACACAGCAACUUCAUAGCCACGCCCUAGCAACCAAUUACAGCACCCUAGCAACCGAGUGGCGAAUUUUGCCACUGCAAGCACCAUUCACAUUUUCUUCAGGAAAUGUACAUUCUAGUUAAUGGUGCUUGCCUCUGGCAAAGCAUCAUUAUUGUUCUCCUGCAUACUUAUUAUUAUUAUUAAUGGUGCUUGCCAAAGGCAAAGCAUCAUUAUUGUUCUCCUGCAUACUUAUUAUUAUUAUUAUUAUUAUUAUUCUUCUUCUUCUUCUGGACAAAAACUUCGGCGCGUAACUUGUCCCGCAGUUUUUGUCCUAGACCCAUGAAUGAGGUGUCAAAUCGACCGGCUCAUUGAGGAGAGGUGUGCUAUGACUUUUAUAAGCGAUCGGGUGUACGAUGUUCGCCCGGCGGGCGAAAAAGUAGCCGAAAAAUCCCAUUGACUUAACAUUGCGACAAACUUUGACGAGUCAUAGCUCCUAACGAGAAUUUCGUAGAAACAUGUGGGUUACCACGUUUGAAGAGGCUGACAGUCUCUGUCAGACCAUACCUCAAAAUGGGGUGUAAGUUGUACCCCUGGGGCGCAAGAGCUGCCCAAAUUUGCCCCAUAGACUUACUAUGGUGAAGCCGUGCCCAUGAAACAGUGUGUUUUUCCUACUAUGGGAAAUUACAUAGAGAUUUUGUAUUGAACAUAACUCUGGAUCACAGUGUCAUAGAGACAAGGGGGUGGGCUCAUUUUACUCAGGCAACCAAUCAGUCUCUCAGGAUCAUUUUGAAGCUAUCAAACCACGCCCUAGCAACCAUAUAGAGCACCAUAGCAACAAGUUCCAUAGACUUCCAUUCAAAAAGAUCAAAGAUAGUCCUUUGGAUAGAAGUGUCAUAGGAACAUGAGGGUGGGCUCAUUUGACUCGGGACAGCAAACGGCCAAUCACGAAUCACCUUCAAGACUUCAUAGCCACGCCCUAGCAACUAUUUAGAGCACCCUAGCAACCCAAAGCAUAGAGGGAUAUCUUCAAAUCUGAAUAUCAUAGAGGCAUGGGGGUUGAUUUAUAUCAUUCAUACUGGCAAGCAGCCUUUGGAGUAUCAUCACUGGCAGCUGCCAAGCCACUCCCUAGCAACCAAACAGAGUACCCUAGCAACCGUUUAGCAAGACCUAUAUCUCUGUAUCAGAGCAUCGUAGAGACAUGGCGGUUGGCUUAUAUUGGCAAGCAGCCUUUGGUGUAUCAUCAUUGGCAGCCGCUUAGCCACUCCCUAGCAACCAAACAGAGUACCCUAGCAACCCAAAGCAUAGAGGGAUAUCUUCAAAUCUGAAUAUCAUAGAGGCAUGGGGGUUGAUUUAUAUCAUUCAUACUGGCAAGCAGCCUUUGGUGUAUCAUCAUUGGCAGCUGCCAAGCCACUCCAUAGCAACCAAACAGAGUACCCUAGCAACCGUUUUACAAGACCUAUAUCUCUGCAUCAGAGCAUCAUAGAGACAUGGCGGUUGGCUCUUUUUACUCAUGCUAGCAAACUGGACUUCCAACAUGCUAAACAUGCUAGCAGUGAAUAGCUACAUGCUAAUGGUGAUUAGCUAAGUGCUAAAGUGGGCUAAGAACAUGCUAAGAACUCUAUAAAAACACCAUAGUAACCAUCUGUGACAGCUACCAACCACCUAGUAACAUCAUAGCAACCACCCAGGUUACCAUAGCAACUGCCUAGCAACCACCCAUAACACCCUAGCAACCACCUAGCAACACCGUAGCAACUGCCCCAAGUACCUUAUCAACUGCCUAGCAACACCCUAGCAACCACCCAGGUUACCAUAGCAACCGCAUAGCAACCACCCAGAACACCCUAGCAACCGCCUAGCAACACCUUAGCAACUACCCCAAGUACCUUAGCAACUGCCUAGCAACACCCUAGCAACCACCCAGGUUACCAUAGCAACCGCCUAGCAACCACCCAGAACACCCUAGCAACCGCCUAGCAACACCUUAGCAACCACCCCAAGUACCUUAGCAACUGCCUAGCAACACCCUAGCAACCACCCAGGUUACCAUAGCAACCGCCUAGCAACCACCCAGAACACCUUAGCAAUUGCCCAGAAACACCCUAGCAACCGAGUGCCGAGUUUUGCCACUGCAA
Ctenopharyngodon idella (grass carp) is the source of this 4517-nucleotide long non-coding RNA. RefSeq lists it as uncharacterized. NCBI's taxonomy places the organism in Eukaryota, Metazoa, Chordata, Actinopteri, Cypriniformes, Xenocyprididae. The transcript has 5 exons. The record is from RefSeq and is a predicted model, not a curated record.